RNAcentral lists this ribosomal RNA (1455 nucleotides) under metagenome. Its description in RNAcentral is "bacterial LSU rRNA". It matches the Rfam family "Bacterial large subunit ribosomal RNA", at positions 1484 to 2925 of the family's 2925-position model. The record is from RNAcentral.
AGCCUCCGCGUGGCGAUGGUAGUCCACGUCUAAGGAUGUAGGGCGAGGUGUAGGCAAAUCCGCACCUCAUAUAGCCUGAGAUCUGAUAGUGACCGCGAAUGCGGGAAGAGGGUGAUCCUAUGCUGCCUAGAAAAACUUCUAGCGAGGUUCUGAGCCGCCCGUACCCCAAACCGACUCAGGUGGUUAGGUAGAGAAUACCAAGGCGAUCGAGUGAAUCGUGGUUAAGGAAUUCGGCAAAAUACCCCCGUAACUUCGGGAGAAGGGGGGCCCUGAUCGUGACGGCACUUGCUGCCCGAGCGUGAUCGGCCGCAGAGACCAGGGAGAAGCGACUGUUUACUAAAAACACAGGUCCGUGCGAAGUCGCAAGACGAUGUAUACGGACUGACGCCUGCCCGGUGCUGGAAGGUUAAGGGGACGGGUUAGCCGCAAGGCGAAGCUCAGAACUUAAGCCCCAGUAAACGGCGGUGGUAACUAUAACCAUCCUAAGGUGGCGAAAUUCCUUGUCGGGUAAGUUCCGACCUGCACGAAUGGCGUAACGACUUCUCCACUGUCUCAACCACGAACUCGGCGAAAUUGCACUACGAGUAAAGAUGCUCGUUACGCGCAGCAGGACGGAAAGACCCCGGGACCUUUACUAUAGUUUGGUAUUGGUGUUCGGAACGGCUUGUGUAGGAUAGGUGGGAGACUUUGAAGCUUGCACGUCAGUGCAGGUGGAGUCAACGUUGAAAUACCACUCUGGUCGUUUUGGAUAUCUAACCUCGGUCCGUGAUCCGGAUCAGGGACAGUGCCUGAUGGGUAGUUUAACUGGGGCGGUUGCCUCCUAAAAGGUAACGGAGGCGCCCAAAGGUUCCCUCAGCCUGGUUGGCAAUCAGGUUUUGAGUGUAAGUGCACAAGGGAGCUUGACUGUGAGAGAGGCAUCUCGAGCAGGGACGAAAGUCGGGACUAGUGAUCCGGCGGUAGCUUGUGGAAGCGCCGUCGCUCAACGGAUGAAAGGUACCCCGGGGAUAACAGGCUGAUCUUGCCCAAGAGUCCAUAUCGACGGCAUGGUUUGGCACCUCGAUGUCGGCUCGUCGCAUCCUGGGGGUGGAGCAUCUCCCAAGGGUUGGGCUGUUCGCCCAUUAAAGCGGUACGCGAGCUGGGUUUAGAACGUCGUGAGACAGUUCGGUCCCUAUCCGCUGUGCGCGUAGGAAAUUUGAGAGAGGCUGACCCUAGUACGAGAGGACCGGGUUGGACGAACCUCUGGUGUGUCAGUUGUUCUGCCAAGGGCACCGCUGAUUAGCUACGUUCGGAAGUGAUAACCGCUGAAAGCAUCUAAGCGGGAAGCACGUCUCAAGAUGAGAUUUCCAUGGGGCUUGCCCCGAGAGGCUCCCAGCUAGACGACUGGGUUGAUAGGCCGGAUGUGGAAGUGCAGCAAUGCAUGGAGCUGACCGGUACUAAUAAGCCGAUAACUUGAUC